CUAGCAAGGAAGGAAGGAAGGAGGAAGCAGGCAGCAGACCCUCUGCCCAGACCAGACCAUCCAGAACAGCUAUUGCUAGAGUAUGUUCUGUCCGCGUGGACUGCAGAGCAAACACCAGUGGAACACCAGUGGAAGGUUUUUAAGAGAACUUUACUUAGGAGAUAAAGGCACUAAGAGCUUUGGAUUUUCUUUUCCCUCAUGGCAACAUCAGCGUCUGGACGUCCAAACGGCUUUAACCUAGCCACAUUAUAAACACCAUCGGUACUCUAAGAGAUCCUCAGCUCUUCUUCAGUAGCAUGUUGAGUACCAUCCACCUGAGGAGCCCGUCAUCUAGCACCAUAUCGACAAUCAUUCUAUCUUAUCUAUCCAUGUGGUUUUCUUGAUAAACUACAAGAGUGGUUUACCACCGCCUUCUCCCGUGCAGUAUGAAAUGAUGCCUUUUUCGUUGUCACUAAAGUGACCAUCCUUCCUAUAUCGCUGCUGACCAAUAUAGGUGCCUGCUUGCUUUAGUUGGGCAGCUGGGAUGACCUUCACACCUUGGGUGACCCUAUUGAGAGUACACUUCCUGGCUACUUCACUCAUCCCUCCCAGGAACACACACACCCCGGCCACGAUGAGGCCACAUAGCAGGACUUUUGGCGGGGGCGGGGGGGCACACCAGGUAUUAAUACUGAAAACUGGAAUUCAUCUAGACAGGAACCCUGGAGAGGAAGACAGGAACUCUAUAGAUGACAGCAACCUCUUCUCCACAUCCAAGAAGCCUGUGCUAGAAUUACACCAAGAACUCAGGCAAAUACAGCUGACAGAGAAGGAGGUUAAAUUAAACUGGUUACUUAAAGAUAUACAUGUUUACAUUGUACACACACGUACACACACACGAGAAAUGAUGUGUACUUUAAAAUGGAAUUCAAAUAAUUUUAAAACUAAAUAAAAUAGCAACUUUAUAUGUC
This is a long non-coding RNA of Hemicordylus capensis (graceful crag lizard), 950 nucleotides long. RefSeq lists it as uncharacterized. NCBI's taxonomy places the organism in Eukaryota, Metazoa, Chordata, Lepidosauria, Squamata, Cordylidae. The record is from RefSeq and is a predicted model, not a curated record. The transcript has 3 exons.